GAUGAACGCUGGCGGCGUGCCUAAUACAUGCAAGUCGAGCGAACAGAUGAGGAGCUUGCUCCUCUGACGUUAGCGGCGGACGGGUGAGUAACACGUGGAUAACCUACCUAUAAGACUGGGAUAACUUCGGGAAACCGGAGCUAAUACCGGAUAAUAUAUUGAACCGCAUGGUUCAAUAGUGAAAGACGGUUUUGCUGUCACUUAUAGAUGGAUCCGCGCCGCAUUAGCUAGUUGGUAAGGUAACGGCUUACCAAGGCAACGAUGCGUAGCCGACCUGAGAGGGUGAUCGGCCACACUGGAACUGAGACACGGUCCAGACUCCUACGGGAGGCAGCAGUAGGGAAUCUUCCGCAAUGGGCGAAAGCCUGACGGAGCAACGCCGCGUGAGCGAUGAAGGUCUUCGGAUCGUAAAACUCUGUUAUUGGGGAAGAACAAAUGUGUAAGUAACUAUGCACGUCUUGACGGUACCUAAUCAGAAAGCCACGGCUAACUACGUG
RNAcentral lists this ribosomal RNA (497 nucleotides) under uncultured bacterium. RNAcentral's name for it is "partial 16S ribosomal RNA". It matches the Rfam family "Bacterial small subunit ribosomal RNA", at positions 28 to 507 of the family's 1533-position model. The record is from RNAcentral.